This 686-nucleotide ribosomal RNA is filed under the name uncultured bacterium. RNAcentral's name for it is "bacterial SSU rRNA". It matches the Rfam family "Bacterial small subunit ribosomal RNA", at positions 139 to 812 of the family's 1533-position model. The record is from RNAcentral.
UGGGAUAACACCUGGAAACAGAUGCUAAUACCGGAUAACAACACUAGACGCAUGUCUAGAGUUUGAAAGAUGGUUCUGCUAUCACUCUUGGAUGGACCUGCGGUGCAUUAGCUAGUUGGUAAGGUAACGGCUUACCAAGGCAAUGAUGCAUAGCCGAGUUGAGAGACUGAUCGGCCACAUUGGGACUGAGACACGGCCCAAACUCCUACGGGAGGCAGCAGUAGGGAAUCUUCCACAAUGGACGAAAGUCUGAUGGAGCAACGCCGCGUGAGUGAAGAAGGGUUUCGGCUCGUAAAGCUCUGUUGGUAGUGAAGAAAGAUAGAGGUAGUAACUGGCCUUUAUUUGACGGUAAUUACUUAGAAAGUCACGGCUAACUACGUGCCAGCAGCCGCGGUAAUACGUAGGUGGCAAGCGUUGUCCGGAUUUAUUGGGCGUAAAGCGAGUGCAGGCGGUUCAAUAAGUCUGAUGUGAAAGCCUUCGGCUCAACCGGAGAAUUGCAUCAGAAACUGUUGAACUUGAGUGCAGAAGAGGAGAGUGGAACUCCAUGUGUAGCGGUGGAAUGCGUAGAUAUAUGGAAGAACACCAGUGGCGAAGGCGGCUCUCUGGUCUGCAACUGACGCUGAGGCUCGAAAGCAUGGGUAGCGAACAAGAUUAGAUACCCUGGUAGUCCAUGCCGUAAACGACCC